GGGAAAAUGGCACGUUUGGUCACCCUAAUAAUAAUGUGAAGGACAAAUGCAAUGAAUGCAUCAAAUGCAACAUGCAGCUUCUGCUCAGGUGGAGAAAGGAUAGGCUAACUAAGCUAAGUUACACGUUGCAGCAGAGAAAAAAAAAUCACCAAACUUGUAGCAAAACUAAUUUGGAUAUUAAUUAUUCAAGUCAAGUCUACACUAUUCUCGCUAAAUUCACGCUGAUUGUUGUGUCUCAGUCCAGGAAGGUCAUUGAGAAUCAGACUCAGGUUGAGUAGAUCUCAAACUUCAGCAGUAACUAUGCUCGGACAAGCCGUGCGACGCUUCGCCACCUCUGCGGUUCGCUCCAGUCACUAUGCGGAGGGACCAGGAAAGAACUUGCCAUUCUCUGUAGAGAACAAGUGGAGGCUUCUUGGCAUGAUGGUGCUGUUCUUUGGCAGUGGAUUCGCCUUCCCAUUCAUUGUUGUCAGGCAUCAGAUCCUGAAGAAGUGAAGCUCCUUCCAGCCACACAUUGUCAGUGUGAUUCUUGUGCAACACAGCUCUCAGUUUCUUCUGGUGUGGAUCCUGUAAUGUUAUUGUAAAUAAAAUGACCAAUGAC
Molecule: long non-coding RNA, 598 nt
Organism: Cyprinus carpio carpio
Lineage: Eukaryota; Metazoa; Chordata; Actinopteri; Cypriniformes; Cyprinidae
Source: Ensembl